Triplophysa rosa is the source of this 3242-nucleotide long non-coding RNA. RefSeq lists it as uncharacterized. The transcript has 6 exons. The record is from RefSeq and is a predicted model, not a curated record. Lineage: Eukaryota; Metazoa; Chordata; Actinopteri; Cypriniformes; Nemacheilidae.
AAAGAAGAAUGCGUUCAGUAAGCGUCUGUUCAAGAAGAACUGAUUAGUGUGUCGGUGUUCAGUUUGACUGACUGUGCGUGCAACCAUUUUACGUCAUCGAAGAAGAACAUGGCGGCCUCCUCAGGUUUGGAAGAACAUGGGAUGAGGGUGGUCUGGUUGCUAGAUGUGGUAUUACAAACGAAGUCUUCGGAAACAGAAGCUGGGAUGUGUUGGAGAGUUUUUAUGAGACCGGUGAGUCAGACGUGAUGAUUGAAAACAGAACUGGAUGGAGGAUGUAACCCUGAAGAGCGCCAGACCGUGUUCUGAGUUUCACCGCUUGUGGUUUGGUCUGAUGAGAAAAUCCAGUAUCCAGUAACCGAUGCAGCUGCACAGGCUCGGCCGCACACAUUUCCAGAGCUCUUAAGAGGAAAACCAUCGCUGAAGCGCACAGCUAAAGAGAUGCCCCAGCGGUUCCAAACCAGUGAAGACUAACACGUGGCAGUCGCCCAAGCUCCAGGAGGUCCGACCCAGCACAAGCGGGUGCCAGGCCAGCUCAGGAAGACGGGAGGGUGUCUGGCACAAAACAAAAGCAGUCAUGCCCCUGCGCCUAAGAUAAGAUCCACUCUCUAAUCAUCACACAUUCGCAUCCUUGCGUGCUGUCUCGCAGCUGCACUGUUGUAAAUGCAUACACACACACACAUACUUGAAAUAGAAACACACAUCUACUCGUGCUAAAACACAUACAAGACAUUUAGACUAAGUGAUGAUUUAAAUGACAUGUGUUGCAUUGGAUUUUUUAACAACUAAACUGCAGUUAAAGUGAUAGUUCACACAAAAAAUUAAAAUUCAUCAUUCACUCCCUCUUGUCAUUUCAAACCGUAUGACUUUCCUUCUUCCGCAGAACACAGAAGAAGAUAUUUUGAAGAAAGUUGAUAGCCAAACAUUGCUGGUUCCCAUUUACCAUUAUACUAUGCAAGUCAAUGGGUGCCAGUUACCAACAUUCUUUUUUCAUUUUUGGGUGAACUGUUACUUUAAGUAAAAACGGCAACUUGUCGUGGAAACUGUUACUUUUGACGCUCUAUCGCCAUCUCUGUUGAAACAUAAAAUUGCAGGUUACUUCACGUCUGUUUUGUCGCACCUGAGCUGAAUAUGUAAAUCAUCAUUUUAAGUAAAGGAGAGAGGGAGAUGGUUUUAAUCACAGAUUUUUUAUGUACUUACUCAAUUAAAAAAAAAUGUAGACUUUAAUCACAGUAAAGUCAUUCUUUUGAGAAUGUAGUUACAAACUAAAACGUCUACAGUGAUAAUUAAAGGGCCAGUACCUUCUAGUUUUUAUUAUAUUUAAUUGUGUUACAUUUAUUAUUUUAUUCUAUUUUAUUCAGAGCAAAAUGUAAUUUAUUUUGUACAAAACAAAGAGGGUUUUCAAGUUAUCACCUCUAUUUUAAAGUUCCAAACUGCAUAAAUGUGUAUAAUAAUAUGUUUGGUACUCCCCAACACUGCCGCCAUUGUGUUUAACUUCAGAAUGUUUGCUCUUUGGUUGUUAACUCAAACUCGCACAUCAACAGUUUGCUUCUCUGUCUAUUUACGUUUAAUAGCAACUAUUUCUAGAAGAGAAAAGUUGCCCUGUCUACAGACCUCCUGUACGGAUUCCUUCGAUGGAGGUCCUGGAUGCAGGAGAUUUCGCCUUUGCUCUUCUGAUACUCCAUCUGUGCUGAUGUUUAUCUGCGUGUCUUUUUUUGCAUAAUCAGAGUGCAACAGAUGCCCAAACAAGUCAGAGCAGAACAACUUGGGAGGCGUCGAGGUUACCCCUCUUUCAUCCGGAAUUUCACAUAGACAUAGCCUGGAAUAUUUCAAUUCCCAUUCCGAUGCCACAUGGAAGACACAUUAGCCAAUUGACCUCUAACCCGCUGUGGGUUUCUCGGUGUGUGUGCUCGAGCGAGGCACAAAAAUAAACAUUUGUAUGCACAAGCAUGCAGAGUUACAGGCAUUUAGACGCAAGCGCAUGCAUUCGGGUCAUUAAAGCAGAAUUCCGGUUGUUGUUCCAGAGGUUCGACUGACAACAUCUGCAGAUCCAACAACACAAAUAAAACAAACGCUGGUGUAGGGAAUGUACCACUGUCCUGUUUCUCAAACUCUUUUGGCUUUUGAAUCAGAUGUGAUGUACAGAAGUGGCCAAAAAUGAUAUCCGGAGGGUGUAUUUGUUUUCAACAUUUGCUUUUAAUGACCCCUGAGGUUAAAGUUAGCCAUCAAAAUAUGUGUAUAAUAAAGAAUGGAAAAAAAUACAACUUGGUAAAUUUGAAAAAAAAAUAUGAUUUAAUAAAAAAAGAUGGACAUCAAAUUUGGACACUACUAUUCAUCUCUUGUAUUUUUUAAAUAUUUUUUAAAGUUGCCACGAUGCUAGGGUGAUGUGGAUGGUUGCUAAGACAUGGUAAAUUGGUUGCUAAGGUGUUCUAGAUGUUUUAAACAUGUUGCUAAAGCAUUGCUUUGUUUCUGUGAUGGUCUAAAGUCAAAAUAACCCAAAUGUAGUCCCUUUUGUGAAAAAAUCCACUUUACAAAUGAAUGAAAACUUUGUGUUAUAAUGAAUGAUUUGACAACAAUGUGUCUUGUAAUAGUCACAAUACAGGUGUGACUUUCACAGUUUAUUUCUUCAAAAUUCUUACAUGGAUCACAAAUGCGAUUAUCUUAAAGAAUUAGAAAUGAUGGACAUGUGUUUGGCGGGAAGAAAGGGUUUCUGUAAUAAUGUGGGUUUAGCAGUUUGGACAAUGGAAAUCUUCUUGAAAAAUCUCAUCACAGCACAUUUUCGUUUGCUUGGAGUUCCUUCACUUCGGCUCAGAGACAUUCCCCGUGUGAGAACACAAAGACCAGAUCCUUGACUUUAUCAUUAAUCUCUGUAGAUAUGUGAGCAAACGCCUAGAAAAGAACCCCUUUGGCGCGUUUGCUAGCGCUCUCCUCCUUUCUUUGCCUUUUACUCUCGUCCUUCAACGUUUGCUGGCCGCUUUGGAGAUAAGGCUUGUUGCCGGGAGGUUGAGAAGAUUAGACGCCUCUGAAGUUUGCAUUUCUCUCGUCUGGUAGCAGAUCGGGACAUGAGUGUGGCUCGAUAUCCAAAGCAUCUCACUUUCAACACUUUACCGUGCAAUGAUCUGUGACCGACUCACCCAAGCUUAACUUAGCUCAGUGUGUUAAUAAAUACCCCAAAACAGACCUCGUAUCUCCAUAAGACAUCAAUUUAACACUGUAUUCUAUAGGUUUGAGAUAAAAAGUUUAAC